GGCGCUCUGAGGCGCCAAGCGAGGGGAGGCAACCCUCUAGCACCUCGCCUGGAUGUGCCUGGCGUGGGUUGCGAGAGGUGACUGCCAUAGGGAAAAAGACGCAGGGUGCAGGGCGAUGGAGGUGAUGCCUUUGUUAUGCAACAAUUAUGUAACAAUCACUUUUUUUUAUUUGUUGUUUGAACAGCAAAAAGCAAAAAAUCCUAAGUAGAGGCUCUCAUUUCACGCCACAGCUGUUGGAAAAAGGACCUGGUAUGUCUCUCAUGUCUUCUUCUUCUUUCCGCUCUCUCCUCUCUUCUAUUCUAUUCUUCUCUCUUCUCUCUUUCUCUCUUCUUCUAUUCUUUCUUCU
This 346-nucleotide unclassified non-coding RNA is filed under the name Hevea brasiliensis (rubber tree). Lineage: Eukaryota; Viridiplantae; Streptophyta; Magnoliopsida; Malpighiales; Euphorbiaceae. The record is from RNAcentral.